UACGUAGGGUGCAAGCGUUGUCCGGAAUUAUUGGGCGUAAAGAGCUCGUAAGCGGUUUGUCGCGUCUGCUGUGAAAACUCGGGGCUUAACUCCGGGCCUGCAGUGGGUACGGGCAGACUAGAGUGCGGUAGGGGAGACUGGAAUUCCUGGUGUAGCGGUGAAAUGCGCAGAUAUCAGGAGGAAUACCGGUGGCGAAGGCGGCAUCCUGGACCGAGAUUGACGCUGAGGAGCGAAAGCUAGGGGAGCAAACGGG
RNAcentral lists this ribosomal RNA (253 nucleotides) under uncultured bacterium. RNAcentral's name for it is "partial 16S ribosomal RNA". It matches the Rfam family "Bacterial small subunit ribosomal RNA", at positions 524 to 776 of the family's 1533-position model. The record is from RNAcentral.